Molecule: ribosomal RNA, 462 nt
Filed under: Triticum aestivum (bread wheat)
Lineage: Eukaryota; Viridiplantae; Streptophyta; Magnoliopsida; Poales; Poaceae
Description: partial small subunit ribosomal RNA
Source: RNAcentral
AUGCUCUUGAUGACCCUCUGGCGGGUGUGGCACAAUCGAAAUGAAGUAACCCAUGGUAAGGUCCCACCUCUGUUGGAGGUGUCAAGGAGCUUUCUUGCUAGUUAUUUGGACUCAUUGGUGGCCAUCAAAAGUUCAGAUUGCGACCAGAACAAGGGGAAACAUACUAUCUCGUACGAGCAUCUGUCCAACUAUACACACACUGCGGCGGCUGCAGUUCCUGAUGUCAAAUGGACGCUGCCACCGGCGGGAUGGACAAAGCUUAACAUCGACGGGUCUUGGACUGUUGAUGACCGAGCAGGUGCUGGAAUGGUUCUUCGUGAUUGUACUGGCCUAUCUAUCGCUUUACAGAGAACUGAGCUUCCGAUUCAGGUGGAGAUGGAUUCUUUGGAGGUAGUAAAUAUGAUCAUGCUAACACGAAUAGAUCCAUUUUUGCUUCUUUGGUGCGUGAGAUUAAGCUCUUAA